RNAcentral lists this ribosomal RNA (138 nucleotides) under uncultured eukaryote. RNAcentral describes it as "partial 18S ribosomal RNA". It matches the Rfam family "Eukaryotic small subunit ribosomal RNA", at positions 1299 to 1458 of the family's 1831-position model. The record is from RNAcentral.
UGGUGGAGUGAUUUGUCUGGUUAAUUCCGAUAACGAACGAGACCUUAACCUGCUAACUAGUCAGGCUGGCUUCGGCUGGUCUCUGACUUCUUAGAGGGACUAUCAGCGUUUAGCUGUUGGAAGUUUGAGGCAAUAACA